This 210-nucleotide long non-coding RNA is filed under the name Trifolium pratense (red clover). Its description in RNAcentral is "long non-coding RNA (TPRA_LNC001564)". Lineage: Eukaryota; Viridiplantae; Streptophyta; Magnoliopsida; Fabales; Fabaceae. The record is from RNAcentral.
GACAAAAUUGAUUUGUAACUACUAAACCCUCAUCAAUGUGAAUUGAUUUGUUCCAAAUAACCGCAACUCCUUUCAACGUGAAUGAAAUAUCUUGCAUUGUUUCUUCUCAAUCAACACUUCAAACUUAUUAUCCUUUUGAUCAAUAAAUGUGAGAUAGCAAUUAAUGUGCGACCCAAAGUCACCUCAAAUAUUAGAGGGCAGCCAUUGAAA